UCUCCAAGUCUGAGCUGGAUACCAUUGACUCCCAGCAUCGAGUGCAUGAAGAUAUUGAAAUGACCAAGACUCAAUCCAUUUAUGAUGACAUGAAGAACCACAGGGAAAGCAACUCUAAUCAAUGUGUCUAUGCUGCACACAACUCUGUCAUAGUAGAUGAAUGCAAGGUAACUCUGGCAGCCAAUGGAAAGUCAGCCGACUGCAGUGUUGAGGAAGAACCUUGGAAACGUGAGAAAUAAGGAUAUGAGUCUCAGCAAAUUCUUGAAUAAACUCCCCAGCGUAUCCUAUGGUAACUGAUGAUAUAAACAAGCUUUCUUUAAAAAGGAAAAAAAUGCGUAUAUUUCUAUGUUUACUUAAUCUGUUAGCCGAGGCUUAGAGGAGCUCUUGUGAGUCAGUGAUGACAGGCACGGUGCUGUGUCUUUGCCAAAUAAUGCUUUAUAACCGUCUAAUUUUCUCACUUGUAUUAUUAUUUGAAUGGAUGCUGCUGGAGGAAUCAGUUGGAAUUGAAGACACGUUCUUGCCAGCUUCCCUUUUCUCCCAAGAUGCAGAAAUGUGGAUGCUCUUUUCCCAGGGGACAUGAGUAAAGCAGUGUGGUACACUCCAGGGACUUGGGAAAAUGAGCAAACACACAGCGUGUUAUUCCUUAAAGUGUUCUCCAUGUCUCGCCUUGUUAUGCACAAGAGAUUCUAUUAAAAGCCUCUAGAAGUAACUCCCCUUAAAAUGUCUAGUAAAGCUUGCACAUGGAUUGAUUAAAAGCAAAUACCUGUCUUAGGGAAUUCUGACAAUUUAUCUUCCAUAUGCUCUUUAAGUAAAAUGUUUCAAAGACAGUUUUAAAGGGAGCCAUGCUCUUAAAGGCAGUUGAUUAAAGAACCUGUUACAUCUCUGCCUUACCCUGUGUAAUCUGUGAGAACAAUGGUUGAAAUUUCAAAGUAUGUUUCAUUAUUCUUUCUAAAUUUGAUAAUUGAUUAGGAAGUAUUUUAUAUAUAACCACUGUAGAUAUUGACAAAAGUAAGAGAGCACAGUCAACAUAAAGUUUAACCAGAGUUAAAUAUUCAAAUUUAUUUAUGUUCGGUUUGCCUUCACCUGGUGUAGUAAAAUCAAAUGAGAUUAUUUGGUAUGUGUUUUGCUUUGUUUAACCCAAAAGAUUAUUUUUUG
RNAcentral lists this long non-coding RNA (1155 nucleotides) under Homo sapiens (human). RNAcentral's name for it is "HSALNT0174070". Lineage: Eukaryota; Metazoa; Chordata; Mammalia; Primates; Hominidae. The record is from RNAcentral.